Molecule: ribosomal RNA, 248 nt
Filed under: Isochrysis galbana
Lineage: Eukaryota; Haptophyta; Isochrysidales; Isochrysidaceae
Description: partial Bacterial large subunit ribosomal RNA
Rfam family: Bacterial large subunit ribosomal RNA
Source: RNAcentral
UGAAAUAUCUAAGUACCCGGAGGAAAAGAAAUCAACAGAGAUUCCCUUAGUAGCGACGAGCGAACGGGGACCAGCCCUUAAGCUUAUGAUUUGUUAGUGGAAGUUUCUGGAAAGUUACGCGAUACAGGGUGAUAGCCCCGUACACGAAAACAAUUUGUAAGUGAAAUCGAGUAGGACGGGGCACGUGAAACCUUGUCUGAACUGUUCUUCUUUCGGGAAGACGAGGGGGGACCAUCCUCCAAGGCUAA